AUUGAACGCUGGCGGCAUGCCUUACACAUGCAAGUCGAACGGCAGCACGGGUGCUUGCCCCUGGUGGCGAGUGGCGAACGGGUGAGUAAUACAUCGGAACAUGUCCUGUAGUGGGGGAUAGCCCGGCGAAAGCCGGAUUAAUACCGCAUACGAUCUACGGAUGAAAGCGGGGGACCUUCGGGCCUCGCGCUAUAGGGUUGGCCGAUGGCUGAUUAGCUAGUUGGUGGGGUAAAGGCCUACCAAGGCGACGAUCAGUAGCUGGUCUGAGAGGACGACCAGCCACACUGGGACUGAGACACGGCCCAGACUCCUACGGGAGGCAGCAGUGGGGAAUUUUGGACAAUGGGCGAAAGCCCGAUCCAGCAAUGCCGCGUGUGUGAAGAAGGCCUUCGGGUUGUAAAGCACUUUUGUCCGGAAAGAAAUCCUUGGCCCUAAUACGGUCGGGGGAUGACGGUACCGGAAGAAUAAGCACCGGCUAACUACGUG
Molecule: ribosomal RNA, 486 nt
Filed under: uncultured bacterium
Lineage: Bacteria
Description: partial 16S ribosomal RNA
Rfam family: Bacterial small subunit ribosomal RNA
Source: RNAcentral